UAGCAACAAAUCCUUCUAAAUAAGCAGUAAUGAAUUAACAAAUCAUUCAAUCAAUCAAAUAACAUAUUUAUUGGGGAAAAAAAAUAUUCAGUAAUAAAAAGCACUUAAAUUCGUAUAUAUGAAUAUAUAUGAUGAUGACUCUGAUCAAAUACGUAUCUGAAAUUCUCACUCUACAGAAUCUCUCUCCUGGCGGCGAACCCGUACUGCGACCGCUGGAUAUUCUGUUGCCGCUUCUUGUACACCACCACGCCGGCGAUGACUACGCACGCUCCGGCGAUCACUCCGACCGCCACACCGGCUUUCUGCCCGCUGCUCAUUCCGCCGGAUGACUCGCCGUUGCUGUCCAAAUCAGCCGCAUUGGGCUUAGUCUCGCGCUUGAUGUCUCCGGUGUCCGCUGCCGGCGCGGGAGAGUGGGAGGGAGACUCGCUGUUCGGAGUCGGUGCGGGAGAAGGUGAGUGUGAGUCGAGAUCUGAGGGCGGCGGCGCCGGAGGCGAGGAGAAGGAGUGGGCGGGUGAAGGCGCGGAGGCAGGGGAGGCCGGGGGCGGAGAGAUUUCGUCGGCGGGCGGAUGCGGAGGUUGAGAAGGAGCAUGCGCCGGCGAGUGAUCGGAGAGGACGGGGUAGGUGAAGAGGAGGAGUGAGAAGACGAGGUGCAGAGGGGAAAUCGACGCCAUGGAUGAGAUCUGGGAGGUGGAUUGGAGGUUGAAUGUGAGUGGAAUAGUAAUUGACUGGAGGAGAUAGAGAGUGAGCUGGGGAUCUGAGUAAGAAAACGAGUAAUGAGGAAAAGGUGAGAGAUCUUUGCGAAAAUGGAAGAUCUGAGAGAAAUGUGGAGCUGUCUCUGUGUAUGUGUGUGUGUGUGUGUGUGUGUGUGUGUGUGUGUGAGAGAGAGAGAGAGAGAGAGAGAGAGGAGGUGGGAUGAGAGUAGGUAAUUAAGUGGAGUAGGUANGUCUCUGUGUAUGUGUGUGUGUGUGUGUGUGUGUGUGUGUGUGUGUGAGAGAGAGAGAGAGAGAGAGAGAGAGAAGGUGGGAUGAGAAUGGGAUUAAAUUGGAGAUGGGAAUGGAAUGGUGGCGUGAGCAGCGGAGGAGAGUUUU
Molecule: long non-coding RNA, 1088 nt
Filed under: Salvia miltiorrhiza (redroot sage)
Lineage: Eukaryota; Viridiplantae; Streptophyta; Magnoliopsida; Lamiales; Lamiaceae
Description: long non-coding RNA (SMIL_LNC002898)
Source: RNAcentral